Molecule: long non-coding RNA, 1387 nt
Filed under: Cairina moschata (Muscovy duck)
Lineage: Eukaryota; Metazoa; Chordata; Aves; Anseriformes; Anatidae
Description: domestica (muscovy Duck (domestic type)) lncRNA (ENSCMMG00000006092.1)
Source: RNAcentral
CAUGGCCCUGCAGAGGCCCUCCUCAGCCUCUGGCCCACGCUCAGGCAACAGCUCCUGCCUCCCUCCCCUUUUUUAUUAUAGCCCAGUGACAAGCGGAAUGAUCUCCAAAAAACAGCAGCCUUGUGGCUUGCCCCAGCGUGGCUGCAGACACUCAGUAAACAGGAGGGGAGCCGGAGCCCCUGGGCCGGGUGUGGGAUGCGGGAGGGCGAGGAGGGCCAUGGAGUUACUCAGCAUUUGCUGUCUGAGAAGAUCUGCUGAGCUGAUGACCAAAUGCUGCUAUGACCGUAAAGAUCCAGGGGGCAUCCAGUUUCGGUGAGUGAAAUUCUGUUCUUAUUUCCUUUGGGGAUAAGCCUUGUCACCGCAGGACAAGCCACUGCACAAGGUGAAUCCCACUGAGUUUUUCUUCUGUGCCAUCUCUUUGCCAGGGAGGGAGCAGUCUGGGGUUACAAAUAGCAGAGUAACAUAGGAACAACAUGAAAUAAAUGUGGCUAUCAGGGAAAGCUUACAAGCAAAGGGCGCCGGGCUAUUAAAUAUUCACUGCAGUGCGAUGGUGGAAUCCCACUUUUUAGGGCUUUUUUAAAGUUGUCUGGACAAAAUCCUAGAAAACGUCUUUGGAGACAAACCUGCACUGGCAGGAAGACGAGCUAGACACUCUCACUGGACUUUUCCACCUCCAGCUCAGACAAUCUGAGCGCAGCUUCCCAGGAGGACAGCUGAAGCCGUACUGCCUGAAUCACAGCCGAUGGGUCAGAUCCAGGGCCCCUCAUCCUCUUGAUGGGCGUCUGCCAGCUCCACCAAAACCAGCGGGACCACUGCAUCAGGAACCCCUCCCUGGCUAGGAAGCUGUUGCACAACCUGGCCCUUCCAUUAGGAAGUGAGCCAUCCCAAUGAACAACUGACCAUGAAUAUCCUAGACGCAAUUUCUUACACGAUCAUUGCUAUUUUGUCACCGGCUCCUACGUUUUUGUGGCUGCUACUGCUCUGAAAAAAACGAAGGAAACAGAGCGAGCUCUUUCAUGUUUUGUUUUUCUUAGUAAUUUAUGAUUAAUGGAGUAAAUCUUGGAAUUCCUACUCAGUUUUCACUUUUUGUAACCCAUGGCUUCUGUUUAUUCAUGUUUUGUAACAGAACUAAAAAGUAUUUCCUUUUAGCCCAAGGCACCUAAUGAGGAUUAGGCCUGGAGCAGAAUAUUUUACAUUCUUGCGUUCCAGGAGUACCUUGAUGUAGAAUUAUCCAUUGUCAACCGUAGACUGAAUAUUCAAUUAUACUGCUUUUUUAAGGUAUUUUAGGGCCUAUCUGAUCAACUGAUACUGAAUGCAAUUAUUCUUCCCUCUGCUUUUAGUGGGUGUGGGUCUUCAUACAGCCAUGUUAGCUGAGGGUUGAUAUUUG